UCCCCGCCGCCGUCCAGCCGCCCCCCCCCCUCCUCCCUCCCCAGGCCCUCUCUGUUCCUCUUCCCCGCCGAAGGCAGCCACCGCUCGCCGGCAAGGAUGAAGCUCUGCGGGACUUUCCUCGGGGCCUGUAGUGGGCAGGUUUCUUCGCAACCCUUCAGCUGUUCCAUAUACAAUAUUAAUGCUGGCCAUUUCUAUUCGGCAUACAACGGCACUAAUUGUAGUCUGAGGCAUUAAGGCAGCCAGCCCAUCUGCAUAGAAGCUUUCAGAAAGAAACAAGGAAAAAAUCUUUCACCCCCAGCUGGUAACCGGAGAAGCUGGUGCCAAUUACAAAUGCAUAAAGUUUGAGAUCUAAAUUACUUCGGAACAGUCUCAGCGAAGCAAGCGAACUGCAGCACGGCGUUUUUUAUGUCUGUAUUUACACAAGCAAUUGCAGUUUUAUUUUAAAUAACCUGAAACUUGAAACGCCUGAUCUGAAAAGCUGAGCAUAGAAAGACGUUAAAAUAAAUAAAAAUACUGCAUGGGGACAGAAGCGAAGGGACUCCACUUAAAAAAAAAUAAACCCUUCUGGCAUUCAUUUCUGUAGGCGACGUUCAGUCAGUGCCCUCAGCGUACCCGUCUCAAACAACGCUGCAAAGGCGAAAAUAUUGGAAUAUUUUUAUUUUAUACCUUUCCGCUGCACGGCUCCCCUCGGGGAUGCGGCAGCUCUUUCAGACCUGGGAGCGCACGGUAAUUACUUGCUGCCUGAAACCGUCUGUGAAGUGACUGUGGAGCUUAAAAAUAAAAUAAAUAAAUAAAAAGUGCGAAAAUGCCUUAAAAGCCGGACGGGGGCGGCCGGAGCUGUCCGCUGCCGUGGUGCUGAGCCGCUGCUGGCACGGCUCGGCCCGGGCUGCAGCCCCCCCCCCCCCCCUUAGGGCUGCCCCCGGAGCCUGGGGGGUGCCGGGGGGGUCUGGGGAGUCCCGCUGCUUGCUGGAGCUCUUGGUGGCGACUGGAAGGUGGGGGUAAGGGGCCGGUUGGUUGCACCGUUUUGGGGAGGUUUUGA
Molecule: non-coding RNA, 1039 nt
Organism: Anas platyrhynchos (mallard)
Lineage: Eukaryota; Metazoa; Chordata; Aves; Anseriformes; Anatidae
Source: RefSeq, a predicted model, not a curated record